GCACGGCAUCCCUAAGUCUAAAUAUUUCUGUUACAUUGCCCAACCUUCAAUGUUAUGUAAUAAUUAUGUAAAAUUCUGGCAAAUUAAUUACGGUCUUUGUUAGGAAGAAAUGGUGUUCACACAGUUCUCAACGAGCCAGGCGGCCCAAACUGCUGCAUAUACCCUGACUCUGCUUACACUGAACGCAAGAGAAGUGACACAAUUUCAGGCACCGCAUUGAUUAUAUGCAACACAGGACAAGCUAGUUAAACUAGUAAUAUCAUCAACCAUGUGUAGUUAACUAGAGAUUGUUAAGAUUGAUCGUUUUUUUAGAAGAUAAGUUUAAUGCUAGCUAGCAACUUACCUUGGCUUCUUGCUGUCUGCACUCGCAUAACAGGUGGUCAGCCUGCCAUGCAGUCUCCUCGUGGAUGGCAAUGUAAUCAGCAUCCAAAAAUGCAGAUUAGCGAAUGGUAUGAAAACUUGAAAUCGGCCCUAAUUAAUCAGUCGACCUCUAGUAGAGAAUGCGAUUCCCAGGACCACCCAUAUCUAAAUGUAUGCAUGUACAACUGUAAGUCACUUUAGAUAAAAGCAUCCUCCACAUCAGGCCUCCUCCAUAUCAGGCCUCCUGCCCAUCAGGCCUCCUCCACAUCAGGCCUCCUGCCCAUCAGGCCUCCUCCAUAUCAGGCCUCCUGCCCAUCAGGCCUCCUCCACAUCAGGCCUCCUCCACAUGGUAUAUAUUAUUAUAUAGUUAUGAGCAGCUAGAUAGACUCACUAGCCUACACCCAAAAUAUUAUGAAAAAAGUUACUGUGUCCUUUUUAAUGAAUAACAGAUGACAUUGAAGACUGCAUUACAUUUCAUGUUGAACUAUCUUAACAAUGUGCUCCUUGUCACUCAUUUAUGCCAAACAUGAACAAUGAAGUGGACAAAGGCACAAACAGAUCUGAGACCAGGCUAUAGAAGGAGACAACAGAUCUAAGACCAGGCUAUAGAAGGAGACAACAGAUCUGAGACCAGGCUAUAGAAGGAGACAACAGAUCUGAGACCAGGCUAUAGAAGGAGACAACAG
RNAcentral lists this long non-coding RNA (1046 nucleotides) under Salmo salar (Atlantic salmon). RNAcentral describes it as "lncRNA (ENSSSAG00000082159.1)". The record is from RNAcentral. Lineage: Eukaryota; Metazoa; Chordata; Actinopteri; Salmoniformes; Salmonidae.